RNAcentral lists this ribosomal RNA (319 nucleotides) under uncultured eukaryote. RNAcentral describes it as "partial 18S ribosomal RNA". It matches the Rfam family "Eukaryotic small subunit ribosomal RNA", at positions 1470 to 1796 of the family's 1831-position model. The record is from RNAcentral.
CCCUUAGAUGUUCUGGGCUGCACGCGUGCUACAAUGGCGUUUCUAGCAAGUCUGCGAACCCGAGAGGGCCAGCGGAUCUUCGAAUUGGCGUCGUGAUCGGGACAGUCGAUUGCAAUUAUUUGACUCAAACGAGGAAUUCCUUGUAAUCGCGAUUCAUCAUAUCGCGCUGAAUACGUCCCUGCCCUUUGUACACACCGCCCGUCGCUCCUACCGAUUGAGCGAUCCGGUAAAUGUUUUGGAUUGGUGCCGGGGCGGCUAGCUGCCGGUCGCUACGAAAUUUUGUGAACCUUAUCGCUUAGAGGAAGGAAAAGUCGUAACA